CUGGGUCAAAGGUUCAUUGGAGGUGGUGCUGUUAUGAAAAGCACAUGGCAAUCUCAACGCUGUGCGUUACAGGGAAGACAUCCUCCUCCCUCAUGUGGUACCCUUCCUGCAGGCUCAUCCUGACAGGACCCUCCAGCAUGACAAUGCCACCAGCCAUACUGCUCGUUCUGUGCGUGAUUUCCUGCAAGACAGAAAUGUCAGUGUUCUCCCAUGGCCAGGGACGAGCCUGAAUCUCAAUCCCAUUGAGCACAUCUGGAACCUGUUGGAUCAGAGGCUCUGCUGAGGAAAUACACAGCUGCUGACUUCCUGAGACCAGUGAGAGAAAAGUGUGCUGCAUGGUGUUUCCCUGCACGCUACAGUAUGGAGGAAAAUGAGGCUGAGGAGCUAGUGGAGGCCGACUUCUUGAGUUCAGACUGGCAGACACACAUUGAAGAGGACAGUUCAAAGAUGCUGUUGAAUGGCGAUACUGUGGCAGUGGUGAAAUCGAGCCCAAGCAGUGGGGCUAUGCUGGAAGGCUCAGAGAUGAAGCCCUGGGGUGUAAUGUAGCAUAAUCAGGCCAGGCCAAGGCCAGGAGAGCUGGAGCGGAGAGAGAGAGAGAGGAGAAGCAUGGGUCUUAUCUAUAAUGAAUGACACAAUGGAAGGCCAAAUAUUCCACUUUAUUCAUCAUUAUCUCUUGGGGUGGGAGGAAUCAUUAAACAUUUAAAUACAGGAAGUAUAUAACUACAAGGUCUUUGUGAAAUAUGGAUGUAUUCUAAUAUUGUUAUUCUAUCUGCUUUGUCAAACCAUUUGAUUUAUGAUUUGUGAGUUUUCAAAGUAUUUUUUUUAUUUCAACAAAAUAACUUUUAACACUUGUUUUAUUUAUUUAUACUAUGUUUUAUUAGUUAACCUUAGAAAGGAUUAUAUAAAUGCCUACUUUCAUAUUGGUGCUUUGUAAGAAUGGUGCUCACUUAAUUUAUUUAGCAAGUUAUCAUUGUAUCAUCAUAGAUCUUAAAUUGCAUACGUACAAUUCUUUAGAAGCCAUGCAUUGUCCAAAGAAAUAUAUUUUUCCCUUUGAAAGUUAAGUGGUAAAACGUGAUCGAUGAGAGGCAACUUGAAGUGCAAUAAUAAUGUUAUGUGAUGCAUUGGAAAAUGUUGUUUUUGCAGAUUUUGCUAAACAUUUUUUGUAGAGUAAUGUUUUGGAAUGACCCAACUCCCGAGUAAAAUUGUUUACUUAUGGGAAUUUAUCAUGUACAAUUAAAUUCACCCUAGACUGUAUUACCUGUACUUAAACAUCCAGCUUACUGAUUUAGAAAUAAAUAGGCAGGCCUACCUUGAUAUGUCUGUGUCAAGAUCUCAAUAAAUUAAUAUUUUAACCAAUUGCUGUCA
Oncorhynchus masou masou (cherry salmon) is the source of this 1365-nucleotide long non-coding RNA. RefSeq lists it as uncharacterized. NCBI's taxonomy places the organism in Eukaryota, Metazoa, Chordata, Actinopteri, Salmoniformes, Salmonidae. The record is from RefSeq and is a predicted model, not a curated record. The transcript has 5 exons.